AUACCUUUCUCGGCCUUUUGGCUAAGAUCAAGUGUAGUAUCUGUUCUUAUCAGUUUAAUAUCUGAUAUGUGGGCCAAUGGCCCACAACGAUAUUAAAUUUAUUUUUGAAGGGGAAGGAUUACAGCGAAGGCCUGGCGCACCCCUCCAAAUAUUGUUCCUCUUGGAAUUCAUUUGUUAUUUUAUAUUCUCACUUGCUCUAUAUUUGUUCCUUUU
Molecule: non-coding RNA, 213 nt
Organism: Beta vulgaris subsp. vulgaris (sugar beet)
Lineage: Eukaryota; Viridiplantae; Streptophyta; Magnoliopsida; Caryophyllales; Amaranthaceae
Source: Rfam